RNAcentral lists this ribosomal RNA (774 nucleotides) under uncultured Neocallimastigales. Its description in RNAcentral is "partial large subunit ribosomal RNA". It matches the Rfam family "Eukaryotic large subunit ribosomal RNA", at positions 22 to 646 of the family's 3401-position model. The record is from RNAcentral. Lineage: Eukaryota; Fungi; Neocallimastigomycota; Neocallimastigomycetes; Neocallimastigales.
GUACACGCUGUGACUAGCAUAUCAAUAAGCGGAGGAAAAGAAACUAACAAGGAUUCCCCUAGUAACGGCGAGUGAAGCGGGAAGAGCUCAAAUUUGAAAUCUUAAAGGGUUUCCCUUUACGAAUUGUAGUUUAAAGAAGUGUUUUCUGUUGAGGUUUUGGUAAAAGUUCUUUGGAAUAGGACAUCAUAGAGGGUGAGAAUCCCGUAUUUGACCUUUACUUUCAACUUUGUGAUACACUUUCAAAGAGUCGGAUUGUUCGGGAAUGCAGUCCAAAAUGGGUGGUAAAUUUCUUCUAAGGCUAAAUAUUGGCGAGAGACCGAUAGCGAACAAGUACCGUGAGGGAAAGAUGAAAAGAACUUUGAAAAGAGAGUUAAGCAGUACGUGAAAUUGUCAAAAGGGAAGCGUUUGAUACCAGUGUUGUUUUUCUGAGAAUCAAUUAAAGAACUGUUUAUGCUAAGCUGUUUAGACUUUAUCAGCUAUACUGUUUAGUUUUGAGCUUUUCUUUAAUGCACUUUUCAGUUAACAAGUCAACAUCAGUUUCUUUUGCUGUAAAAAAGCUUGAGGAAGGUGGCUUGAGAUUCGUCUUAAGUGUUUAUAGCCUCUUGCCUAUGCAGUCGGAGAGAUUGAGGUCUGCAGCGUAGAUCCUUCGGGGCUAAAUGCAUUUGUGCUAAGUUAUAGCUUUUUAUAGACAACUUGUUGACUAUAAUUAGUCUUGUAGCUUACUCGCUUAUGCUAUUUUACCUACGCUUAGGAUGUUGACGCAUGAGAUAUACG